RNAcentral lists this long non-coding RNA (1214 nucleotides) under Musa acuminata (dwarf banana). RNAcentral describes it as "long non-coding RNA (MACU_LNC001283)". The record is from RNAcentral. Lineage: Eukaryota; Viridiplantae; Streptophyta; Magnoliopsida; Zingiberales; Musaceae.
UUAAAUUCUGUAAUUCCUACUUCUGAGCUUGCUGGCUCCUUAAUAACUUCAUUCUGACUUCAAGCAAUAACUCUUCUCUUUCUUCUCUUGCCCACCUCUCUUUAUGACUUUAUUGCCCGACCUAAACUCUAAAGUCACUUAUUGUCUACCUUGCCCACCUCGACUCUGUCAACAAAGAAGGAUGAAACUGGGAAUGCAACUGACAAGUAGGAAUACCUGCUCAAUAGAUCUCAUUUCUAUCUUCUAUUAGUCCACUCGAUCAGAGGUUGGAAAAGGAUCUGAACCAGGACUUGCGCUAUAGUAAAGUCAUAAUUGUCAUAUAUCUCUUAUGGAGCACUUGUUAGAGAAUCUGGUAACCAACCUAGUAUCAGGUAACACUUCCCUAGCCCAGUAUCAGGUCACACUUCGUAGAAGAAGAAAACUCAGAAUACAGAAUGAAAUGCACAAGUCGCCUUGUUGGUUUGCUCUUAACCUGCUAUGUACUCAACAAUUCCAUUCGAACUUUCCUGUUGAAUUCGGAUUCUUAGAAGUGACUUCACAAUGGUAAGUAUUAGAAUGAAUAAUGAUGUAGCAAGUAAGUAUUAGUAAGUUGAAUAAUAAUAAAUAAAGGAUCUGAAACUCCUAAUACAUACUUUUUGAGACUAUGAAUGCACUAGUCCGCUGUUAAGGUAUUCAAUAGUUACUACAUAGGAGUUAUAGGAGUUAAUAGAAUCAUAUUCGCCCGUCUUCAUUGGCUUGGCAGUUAGAGUUAGAGUUGGAGCAGUAUCCGUAUACUGAUUCUGUGGCUUGUUCCCUUGCUUAAGGAAAAGAAUCAAUAUUGGGCAUCCUCAUCCUCAAUGAACUCACUUUUACCACUACUAGGUCAAGCACCGACAUCGAACCCGCUUGCGGCGAGCAGAACAGAACUAGAACUUUGAUUUAGUACUUGGAAGGCGGGACAAACAAGGGAAGGCGGCACAAACACCUAUUCUUCUCUAAUUACUGUAUCCAUAUGAGACUCCACUCCAUGAGCUUCUUUCGCACCCCGACCCGAGUUGCUUCUUUAAAAUCAUUAAGCUAUCUUGAGUUCUAGAACUUAUUCACAAACUAAACACUUAUUGUCCUCCUAUAUGUCCAUAUUUCUUUGAGUUCACCGUUCGCCCUAUUGCUCUUGAGCCUGAAAGCAAUGCAGUGUCUGUUUACUCUCUGACAUUGGUUGUGCACUCUCUUCCGGC